RNAcentral lists this ribosomal RNA (828 nucleotides) under Enterococcus durans. RNAcentral describes it as "bacterial SSU rRNA". It matches the Rfam family "Bacterial small subunit ribosomal RNA", at positions 663 to 1456 of the family's 1533-position model. Lineage: Bacteria; Bacillati; Bacillota; Bacilli; Lactobacillales; Enterococcaceae. The record is from RNAcentral.
GGAGUUCCCAUUGUAUCCGGGAAAAGCGUACAUAUUUUGCNGGAACACCUGUGGGCGAAGGGCGUUCUCUGGUCUGUGUCUGUCGCUGAGGCUCGAAAACGUGGGGAGCACACAGGUUUCUGAUACCCUGGUAGGCCUCGCCGUAAACGAUGAGUGCUUAGUGUCUGAGGGUCUGCACCCUUUUAGUGCUGGUGCUAAAGCAUUAAGCACUCCGCCUGGGGAGNACGUCCGCUAAGGUUUAAACUCAAAGGGAUUGACGGGGGCCGCACAAGCGGUGGAGCAUGUGGUUUAAUUCGAAGCAACGCGGAGAACCCUACCAGGUCUUGACAUCCUUUGACCACUCUAGAGAUAGAGCUUUCCUUCGGGGGCAAAGUGACAGGUGGUGCAUGGUUGUCGUCAGCUCGUGUCGUGAGAUGUUGGGUUAAGUCCCGCAACGAGCGCAACCCUUAUUGUUAGUUGCCAUCAUUUAGUUGGGCACUCUAGCAAGACUGCCGGUGACAAACCGGAGGAAGGUGGGGAUGACGUCAAAUCCUCAUGCCCCUUAUGACCUGGGCUACACACGUGCUACAAUGGGAAGUACAACGAGUCGCGAAGUCGCGAGGCUAAGCUAAUCUCUUAAAGCUUCUCUCAGUUCGGAUUGUAGGCUGCAACUCGCCUACAUGAAGCCGGAAUCGCUAGUAAUCGCGGAUCAACACGCCGCGGUGAAUACGUUUCCCGGGCCUUGUACACACCGCCCGUCUCACCCACGAGAGUUUGUAACACCCGAAGUUAGUAGUAGGUAAGAUCCUUAAGGCGGCCAGGAGGCCUGACUCUAAGUUCCUGCGCCGC